Acanthopagrus latus (yellowfin seabream) is the source of this 3470-nucleotide long non-coding RNA. RefSeq lists it as uncharacterized. NCBI's taxonomy places the organism in Eukaryota, Metazoa, Chordata, Actinopteri, Spariformes, Sparidae. The record is from RefSeq and is a predicted model, not a curated record. The transcript has 2 exons.
AGCAGUCAGCAGAACAGAACCUGGAGGUCCGCGUCGGAUCACUGCUGCAGUCAGGCUGAUCAACAGAGUGAUGAGAAAUCACCUUUUUAAUACCACAAGUUACGAACUAAUCUCUGAGCUCUGCUCCCGUCAGCAGGAGCAGAACCUGAUGAGACCUGGAUCAGCACCACAACACUCAGCACACAUCUUAUGUUUUGAUGGCAACAUUUAAAAAGAAAAAUUACAUAUUGAACACUGAAAAUAACUGAAAAACAUUCAUACUAAUUAUUAGGGACUAAUAAUUAGUAUUCCAACAUUUUUAUAGAUGUGUUUUUAAUGAGUGAAGGUGAUUUCUCCUUCUGCCUGAGUUUUCUGAAGUUGCAGUGUUUUGAGCCUCUCAGCCACCGUAGAACAGAGGCGAGCAGCGGAGAGUUUCACAGAGAGAGAGAGUCACGUUUCAGAUUUACAGCCUCCAACAGUGUCGACCGCUUCUCUCUCAGACAGGAUUGAGUUUCUGGUGCGACCCCGACGCCUCGCUGUCGCCUCCAUCAGCUUCUCAUCUGUCUAAAACUUUAAACUGUGAAGAAAGAGCAGCCAGACACAAACUGGAGUCCUCUGGGUGUCAGUGUCGCAUGUGCAGUUGUUUGGUUUUAGUGGUGGAAUUCUGGGAAAUGAAGUUAGUUCUGCUGUUGCAGCUAAAGUUUUCCACAUAUCAGAUUAAACAUUAGUUAGACUGACAUGUUGAGACGUCAGAUUCAUUCAAAGUGAAGUCAAUAUUUUAUUACCGAGCUUCCAGCUGCAGUCGAGCUUUAGAUCAACAUUCCUGCUGACUCUGAGUCAGCUCAGUACAGAUUAGAUACUGACUGCCAGGAUGGACCGUUCCUAUUGGCUAAGCCAGCUAUGAUGUCAUGAUGAUGACAUCUCUCUCCCAGCACCUAAAAAGAAAAUCAAGGACACAGUUUGAUCACAGAAUGAUGCCGAGCAUUGCAUAAGAAGCUAAUGAAGCUAACAAAGCUAAUGAAGCUAAUGAAACAAGCUACACUUAUGUGAAGACUUUAUCCUCUACUGAAUUUAUUUAAUUGAUUUAUUGUAUUAUUGUCUUCCUCAGUGUGUUCACUUCUAAUGGAAAGCUACUCACUAAGUUUUGGAAAAAAUGUUUCUUUGGGAGAAAAAACCUUUCAGAAGCUUGUGUGUGAAAGUUAAACAUGAAAAUGCUAAUGUUUAGUAGUAAUAUUUAGGGAUGUCACGAUGUCACUUUUAAAUCAAAUAUUGAGUGGAAUGGAAAACAGGAUUAGUGAUUUUUCCUCUUCAUGUCCAGCUACUAUCAUAGCGUUAGCCUGAAGCUAUCAUAGCGUUAGCCUGCAGCUAUCAUAGCGUUAGCCUGAAGCUAUCAUAGCGUUAGCCUGCAGCUAUCAUAGCGUUAGCCUGAAGCUAUCAUAGCGUUAGCCUGCAGCUAUCAUAGCGUUAGCCUGAAGCUAUCAUAGCGUUAGCCUGCAGCUAUCAUAGCGUUAGCCUGAAGCUAUCAUAGCGUUAGCCUGCAGCUAUCAUAGCGUUAGCCUGAAGCUAUCAUAGCGUUAGCCUGCAGCUAUCUUAGCGUUAGCUUGCAGCUGUCAUAACGUUAGCCUGUAGCUAUCAUAGCGUUAGCCUGCAUUGUCACUUCCAGACUCUUCGCCUGUGAUGAAGACGAUCAGCUGACUGGGAACUCUUGCAGCAUCGGACAUGUUGGUUCAUUUUCAUUUUCGGAGAACUUGUUUGUGAAGAAGUGUUCACAGAAACUGAGCUUAAGCUAAAGUUAACUAUUUCUAUCUCUUGUUGUUUAUUGUUGAAUCACUGACGGCAAACUGAAUUGAAUCAGAACUUUAAAUCAGAACUUUAAAAUCAGGAGCUGAUCCAGCCGAUCCUCGGCUGCAUCAGCUGUGAUCAAACUGUCUCCUCUUUGGUUUUUUCUUUAUCCUACAGCAGAAACCACUGCCCUCUUGUAUCUCAGUACACCAUGCACACACACACACACACACACACACACACACACACACACACACACACACACACACACACACACACCUGCAGUGUAGAAGAACAAUGUAAACCUUCAGGCCGGAGCUGAUCUGAGCUCUGGUUUGUCCAAUAAGCAGGUUUUUAGACGUUCAGCGUCGGCUCGUGUUGCUUAGUGACCAAAUGAUGUGCAGCUAUUUUUUAACCUACAUAGAGAAAGUGGCAUGUUUGUUAUUAAAAUCUAAUCGAAAGUGUAAAAUUAUAUCAAUACAUGAAUGUCGAGGAAACAGAAUGACACAUUUAGCUGUCGAAGAGGACGACGGAGGGACGGAACAGAGACUUUUCUGAGGCAUGAUGGGAAAUAACAAGAGAUCUUUAUGGACGUGAUCUUCCUCGUCACCACACGGACGCUUCAGGACAUCUGUAACGACUUCAGCACACAUACAUAUAUAUCCUCAAACUAUAAAUACUAUCAUCGUCAUAUCUGAUCAAGUUAGAUGUGUCUGUUUGCAGGACAGCGAAUCGAACGUCCUCACCUGAUUCAGGUGACUCACUGACUCCUGAUCUGAAUGGACUCUUUAAAGGUGCACUGCGAAGGAUUUCAUGCUCAACAAAUCAAAUGAAUAUAGUGAAAGUGUGAAAUGAGACUCGCGGCGCCUUUAAAGUCAAACGGCUCAGAAUGAAUUCACGCCAAAAUCACCGCCACCACAUCCUGCAUCCCACGCCACCACGUCUGCCUCGACGCCACACGCUUCCUGUAUCUGUGGAGGGAAACGAAACAAAAAAAGAGACUGUGAGAGUUGUUGAGUGAGCGAGCAUUGGUCACUUUACGUUGAGAUGAUUUCAUUUUUCUUUCUUUUCUUUCUUUCUGUUGUUUGAGGAAUGAAUCUGAUGCUGCGAUGACGCUGAGCAGGUUUAUGCUUUGUUCUGAUUGGUUGUGUGUAUUUAGAAACAGGAAGUGAAGGUUGCUGUGACUCGACACCACGAUGACACAAAGAUUGUUCCACGAUGUUUUUAUUUCUUUCUGUACAUUUUAAAGUGUUUUUUUCUUCUUUUUUUUAAUCAAAUUAUUUCAAGAAGCAGGGCGACUUCCUGGAGGCGUGUCACCGCCAGCGCGUCUGAGGUUUUAACUGCUGCGAGCACGAUGUCAUGACGAUGAUGAUGUCAUACUUUUAUUUAACCUUUAAUGACGUAGAUUUAUAUAAUAACACUGGCAGUUACACUUCCUGCCUCAGGUGCAUGACGGGUAUCGAACAUCUAAAACGAUGUUUCUUUAGAGGGGAGAGAGGUCGGGCUGAGGUCAAAGGUCGGACUCGUCGGCGGUGACCCGCCCGUCUGAAGCCGCCCUGCUGCUGUACAUACUGAACCACUGAAUGACAAUAUGAUGAUUAUUGUUGUUGUUGUUUUCAUAUCUGGAUGCAGGUGAUGUAACAGAUGAAUGGUGACGUGAAUGAUUAACCAUGAGUUACAAUAAAGAGCAUUUCUAUUUGCUUUGAGGA